CCUACGGGAGGCAGCAGUGAGGAAUAUUGGUCAAUGGGCGCGAGCCUGAACCAGCCAAGUCGCGUGAGGGAUGACGGCCCUACGGGUUGUAAACCUCUUUUGCCGGGGAGCAACGGGCGCCACGUGUGGCGCCACUGAGAGUACCCGGAGAAAAAGCAUCGGCUAACUCCGUGCCAGCAGCCGCGGUAAUACGGAGGAUGCGAGCGUUAUCCGGAUUUAUUGGGUUUAAAGGGUGCGUAGGCGGAUCGUUAAGUCAGUGGUCAAAUUGAGGGGCUCAACCCCUUCCCGCCAUUGAAACUGGCGCUCUUGAGUGGAAGAGAAGUAUGCGGAAUGCGUGGUGUAGCGGUGAAAUGCAUAGAUAUCACGCAGAACUCCGAUUGCGAAGGCAGCAUACCGGCGCUCAACUGACGCUCAUGCACGAAAGUGUGGGUAUCGAACAGGAUUAGAUACCCUUGUAGUC
RNAcentral lists this ribosomal RNA (460 nucleotides) under uncultured bacterium. RNAcentral describes it as "partial 16S ribosomal RNA". It matches the Rfam family "Bacterial small subunit ribosomal RNA", at positions 338 to 795 of the family's 1533-position model. The record is from RNAcentral.